CCUACGGGUGGCAGCAGUGGGGAAUAUUGCACAAUGGGGGAAACCCUGAUGCAGCGACGCCGCGUGAAGGAAGAAGGAUUUAGGUAUGUAAACUUCUAUCAGUAGGGAAGAAAAUGACGGUACCUGACUAAGAAGGCCCGGAUAACUACGAGCCAGCAGCGGCGGUAAUACGUAGGGGGCAAGCGUUAUCCGGAUUUACUGGGUGUAAAGGGGGCGUAGGGGGUUUAGCAAGUCAGAAGUGAAAGCCCGGGGCUCAACGCCGGGACUGCUUUUGAAACUGUUGAACUUGAUUGCAGGAGAGGUAAGUGGAAUUCCUAGUGUAGCGGUGAAAUGCGUAGAUAUUAGGAGGAACACCAGUGGCGAAGGCAGCUUACUGGACUGUAAAUGACGCUGAUGCUCGAAAGCGUGGGUAGCAAACAGGAUUAGAUACCCUUGUAGUC
This 440-nucleotide ribosomal RNA is filed under the name uncultured bacterium. RNAcentral describes it as "partial 16S ribosomal RNA". It matches the Rfam family "Bacterial small subunit ribosomal RNA", at positions 338 to 795 of the family's 1533-position model. The record is from RNAcentral.